This 460-nucleotide ribosomal RNA is filed under the name uncultured bacterium. Its description in RNAcentral is "partial 16S ribosomal RNA". It matches the Rfam family "Bacterial small subunit ribosomal RNA", at positions 338 to 795 of the family's 1533-position model. The record is from RNAcentral.
CCUACGGGUGGCAGCAGUGAGGAAUAUUGGUCAAUGGGCGCGAGCCUGAACCAGCCACGUAGCGUGAAGGAUGACUGCCCUACGGGUUGUAAACUUCUUUUAUAAAGGCAUAAAGUGAGGCACGUGUGCCUUUUUGUAUGUACUUUAUCAAUAAGGAUCGGCUAACUCCGUGCCAGCAGCCGCGGUAAUACGGAGGAUCCACGCGUUGUCCGGAUUUGUUGGGUGUAAAGGGAGCGUAGAUGGGGUAUUAAGUCAGUUGUGAAAGUUUGGGGCUCAACCGUAAAAUUGCAAUUGAUACUGGCAGUCUUGAGUACAGUUGAGGUAGGCGGAAUUCGUGGUGUAGCGGUGAAAUGCUUAGAUAUCACGAAGAACACCGAUGGCGAAGGCAGCUUACUAAACUGCCACUGACAUUGAUGCUCGAAAGUGUGGGUAUCAAACAGGAUUAGAUACCCCUGUAGUC